RNAcentral lists this ribosomal RNA (517 nucleotides) under uncultured bacterium. RNAcentral describes it as "bacterial SSU rRNA". It matches the Rfam family "Bacterial small subunit ribosomal RNA", at positions 1 to 520 of the family's 1533-position model. The record is from RNAcentral.
GGAUCCAGACUUUGAUUCUGGCUCAGGACGAACGCUGGCGGCGCGCCUAACACAUGCAAGUCGAGCGGGAAGCUUUUUAAGGAUUCUUCGGAUGAAUUAAAAAGUGGAGAGCGGCGGACGGGUGAGUAACGCGUGAGAAACCUGCCCUAUACAGGGGGAUAGCCAUUGGAAACGAUGAUUAAUACCCCAUAUGACCACAGUAUCGCAUGAUACAGCGGUGAAAACUCCGGUGGUAUAGGAUGGUCUCGCGUCUGAUUAGCUAGUUGGUGGGGUAACGGCCUACCAAGGCGACGAUCAGUAGCCGGCCUGAGAGGGUGACCGGCCACACUGGAACUGAGACACGGUCCAGACUCCUACGGGAGGCAGCAGUGGGGAAUAUUGCACAAUGGGCGAAAGCCUGAUGCAGCGACGCCGCGUGAACGAUGAAGGCUUUCGAGUCGUAAAGUUCUGUUCUUGGGGAAGACAACGACGGUACCCAAGGAGAAAGCACCGGCUAAAUACGUGCCAGCAGCCGCGG